This 253-nucleotide ribosomal RNA is filed under the name uncultured bacterium. RNAcentral's name for it is "partial 16S ribosomal RNA". It matches the Rfam family "Bacterial small subunit ribosomal RNA", at positions 524 to 776 of the family's 1533-position model. The record is from RNAcentral.
UACGUAGGGGGCAAGCGUUGUCCGGAAUUAUUGGGCGUAAAGAGCGUGUAGGCGGUCCGGUAAGUCGGCUGUGAAAGUCCAGGGCUCAACCCUGGGAUGCCGGUCGAUACUGCCGGACUAGAGUUCGGAAGAGGCGAGUGGAAUUCCCGGUGUAGCGGUGAAAUGCGCAGAUAUCGGGAGGAACACCUAUGGCGAAGGCAGCUCGCUGGGACGUUACUGACGCUGAGGCACGAAAGCGUGGGGAGCGAACAUG